AGAGCGAACGCUGGCGGCAGGCCUAAUACAUGCAAGUCGAACGGAUCCUUCGGGAUUAGUGGCGGACGGGUGAGUAACACGUGGGAACGUGCCCUUUGGUUCGGAACAACUCAGGGAAACUUGAGCUAAUACCGAAUGUGCCCUUCGGGGGAAAGAUUUAUCGCCAUUGGAGCGGCCCGCGUCUGAUUAGCUAGUUGGUGAGGUAAAGGCUCACCAAGGCGACGAUCAGUAGCU
RNAcentral lists this ribosomal RNA (234 nucleotides) under uncultured bacterium. RNAcentral describes it as "partial small subunit ribosomal RNA". It matches the Rfam family "Bacterial small subunit ribosomal RNA", at positions 26 to 288 of the family's 1533-position model. The record is from RNAcentral.